AUUGAACGCUGGCGGCAUGCUUUACACAUGCAAGCCGAACGGUAACAGGUUAAGCUGACGAGUGGCGAACGGGUGAGUAAUGCAUCGGAACGUGCCCGGUCGUGGGGGAUAACGCAGCGAAAGCUGCGCUAAUACCGCAUACGAUCUAAGGAUGAAAGCGGGGGACCGUAAGGCCUCGCGCGAUCGGAGCGGCCGAUGUCAGAUUAGGUAGUUGGUGGGGUGAAGGCUCACCAAGCCAACGAUCUGUAGCUGGUCUGAGAGGACGACCAGCCACACUGGGACAGAGACACGGCCCAGACUCCUACGGGAGGCAGCAGUGGGGAAUUUUGGACAAUGGGCGAAAGCCUGAUCCAGCAAUGCCGCGUGCAGGAAGAAGGCUUUCGGGUUGUAAACUGCUUUUGUACGGAGAGAAAAGGUCUCCUCUAACACAGGGGGCUCAUGACGGUACCGUAAGAAUAAGCACCGGCUAACUACGUGCCAGCCGCCGCAGUAA
Molecule: ribosomal RNA, 493 nt
Filed under: uncultured bacterium
Lineage: Bacteria
Description: partial 16S ribosomal RNA
Rfam family: Bacterial small subunit ribosomal RNA
Source: RNAcentral